GCCCUUAGUCCGUGGCUCCAGCGAUGGAUGCCUGGCCGGUGUCGUCCCUUUGAGGACAACUGGACAGGCGGCCCCCAUCUGGGUGAUUCUACUGGCCAGGUUCAGGACAUCGGGGCGGGCGUGGCUGGCCCCUAUGAAGUUACCGCGCACAGUAGUGGAGAGUCGGGCGUUUAACGUUGGCGGAUGGAGUUGGAUAGACCGAAAAAUCAAGAAAGAUGUCUAAGCAACAACCAACCCAGUUUAUAAAUCCAGAAACUCCUGGCUAUGUUGGAUUUGCAAAUCUCCCCAAUCAAGUUCACCGAAAAUCAGUGAAGAAGGGGUUCGAGUUCACUCUGAUGGUGGUCGGUAAGACGUCAUCUUACAAAAUGUUCCCUUUCUGAGCCUAUGAAAUACAUUGGCCUUACCUGUAAUCUAAGUGAGAAAAUUUCUUUCUUCACAAAAUCAACUCUGGUACUUAAAAAUAUUUAUUUGGCCAAGAUUUCAUAUUUAUGCACACACAUAUUCUGGAAAUUUUGUUCAAGAGGAAAAUACAAUUUUUAUGUAAUUUCUUUAUUCAUAUACAAUGAAAGUUUCUUUGUGAUGAUUAAUUUUUAAAAUAGUCACCAGUGAUAUUUACCCCCUAAUAUUCACAACCCAUACCAGGAUUUCUUUGGGCUUGUUGUUGUUGUUUCUUACUUUUAUUGUGUGUGUGUGCACGUAUUUAAUGUGCACAGAGGCAGGCACCUUGUGUAGAGGUGGUUCUCUCCUUCCAUCUCUAUGUGGGUUAAGGAUAGAACUCAGGUCACAAGGCUCGAGCAGCAAGUGCCUUUACUUUCUGAAUCAUCUUGUUGUCCCUCACCCCUAUCUCUUAAAUAGUUGUAGAUGGAUGUUAUAGAAAUGAUGUGACUGGGCUGGGGAUUUAGCUCAGUGGUAGAGCGCUUACCUAGGAAGCGCAAGGCCCUGGGUUCGGUCCCCAGCUCCGAAAAAAAGAACCAAAAAAAAAAAAAAAAAAAAAA
RNAcentral lists this long non-coding RNA (995 nucleotides) under Rattus norvegicus (Norway rat). Its description in RNAcentral is "long non-coding RNA NONRATT029688". Lineage: Eukaryota; Metazoa; Chordata; Mammalia; Rodentia; Muridae. The record is from RNAcentral.